This 465-nucleotide ribosomal RNA is filed under the name uncultured bacterium. RNAcentral's name for it is "partial 16S ribosomal RNA". It matches the Rfam family "Bacterial small subunit ribosomal RNA", at positions 28 to 507 of the family's 1533-position model. The record is from RNAcentral.
GACGAACGCUGGCGGCGUGCUUAACACAUGCAAGUCGAACUGUGAACUCCUCUUGCGGGGGGAUUAGUGGCGAACGUGUGAGUAACACGUGCGCAACCUGCCCUCAGCUCUGGGAUAACUCCAUGAAAUUGGGGCUAAUACCGGAUAUGACCGCUGACCGCCUGGUCUGGUGGUGGUAAGAUUGGUCGGCUGGGGAUGUGACGGCGGCCUAUCAGCUUGUUGGUGGGGUAGUGGCCGACCAAUGCGACGACGGGUAGCCGGCCUGCGAGGGUGACCGGACAAAGAGGGAAUGAGAGACGGCCCAGACUACUACGGGAGGCAGCAGUGGGGAAAAUUGCGGAAGGGGCGAAAGCAUGACGCAGCGAAGCAGCGUGAGGGAUGACGGCCUUGGGGUUGGAAACCUCUUUCAGCUGGGAAGAAGCGAAAGUGACGGUACCUGCAGAAGAAGGACCGGCGAACUACGUG